Molecule: long non-coding RNA, 276 nt
Filed under: Elaeis guineensis (African oil palm)
Lineage: Eukaryota; Viridiplantae; Streptophyta; Magnoliopsida; Arecales; Arecaceae
Description: long non-coding RNA (EGUI_LNC007420)
Source: RNAcentral
GACCGUCUGAUUGUGAUCGGCUCAUGCAUAUCAGCCUCUUUGAGUCUUGAUCAAAUCCAAAAAUCACCAAGACCAUUCGAUCGCGAUCGACUAUGUCGUCAGCUAUCUAACCGCACAUUCGCAUCUCAGUCGUUAGAUGUGAUCGGUCCACAUGCGGUCGGUGAGCCGUGAUAGAGCCUGUGGUCCACGAUGGACCACGACACCUAGGCGGGCCUGGGCACCCGCGCAUGCGGGCCAUGUGCUCCGGGCCUGGCCCGCACUACCGCCAGCUUGUGC